GACGGAGGGUGCUAGCGUUGUUCGGAAUCACUGGGCGUAAAGCGCACGUAGGCGGAUCUUUAAGUCAGGGGUGAAAUCCCGAGGCUCAACCUCGGAACUGCCUUUGAUACUGGGGAUCUCGAGUCCGGGAGAGGUGAGUGGAACUGCGAGUGUAGAGGUGAAAUUCGUAGAUAUUCGCAAGAACACCAGUGGCGAAGGCGGCUCACUGGCCCGAUACUGACGCUGAGGCACGAAAGCGUGGGGAGCAAACAGG
This 253-nucleotide ribosomal RNA is filed under the name uncultured bacterium. RNAcentral describes it as "partial 16S ribosomal RNA". It matches the Rfam family "Bacterial small subunit ribosomal RNA", at positions 524 to 776 of the family's 1533-position model. The record is from RNAcentral.